Molecule: long non-coding RNA, 2171 nt
Filed under: Numida meleagris (helmeted guineafowl)
Lineage: Eukaryota; Metazoa; Chordata; Aves; Galliformes; Numididae
Description: lncRNA (ENSNMEG00000001178.1)
Source: RNAcentral
UCAUUUCUCCUGGCUCUGCUGAAGACAUUGACCAGAGCGUGCCAGACGUGCCAGACUCUAGCGUGGGUUGUGACGCAACGUCUUCCCAGAGCAGCCCACCCCAAGCAGAGUCGGAGUGCUCCGGCAGCAGCACCUCCGUGCAGGAGUAGGUCAGCGUCCGUGAGGAGAAGCGGAGCCUCGUGGAGGAGGGCGUAGAAGCAGGCAGCCGGUCCCAGACAGCGGGCAGCAGCACCAGCUCCGAGCCAGUCUCUCCGUGACGAGAGAAGCCGAGUCCCUUCUUCACUCUGGACCUCUCACGCCCUCCUGCCUUCUAACGAAUAAACGCACACUCGUGCUCGAUGGACACCUUGCGUGCAUUCCGAGUCUUCAUUCACAGGGAUUGGGCUGAACAGAAGAAAGAGCGAGGCACUUUGUCUUGCAGCAGCAUGGCUUUGGGCGUCCAUUCCUGGCUGCCACCUCCGAGCUGGCCCUGCAGAUCAUCUCCAGACGGGUCAUCAUCACGCUGCGGCAGGAGGAGCUGGCCCUGCCCCACGUCAGGCCGUGCUGCUGGGUCUGCAGAUGAGCGGCUGCCUCCUCCUCUCUUCAGCUGCAGUAGCGUUUCUCAGGGAGGUGGGAUGCAGUCGCGCUCCGCUGGAUGCUGUGGAUGAAAUCCAAAGCAAAUCUUUGUACUGUGAUGAGCAAACCACGCUAUCUUGCAAACGAUGUCAGACUCUUCUUUGCCAGCCUUCCCUUCCAUCUUCCCUUUGCUGUUUCUGAGAAAGGAGAGCGGUGCCUUGUGUGCAGCAGGGCAGGAGUCAGUGCAACACAAAGGUGCUGUGCCCGUCACAGCCUUUCUCCAGGGGCCGCCAAAGAAGCUGAUGCAAGCAGCCUUCCAGCAAAGUGCAGCCACGCAGAAAGGCAGCAGAGGAGCACAGAGCGUGGCACGGCCCCAAGGAGAGAGAGAGGUGCUGAGCCAAAUGGCAAGAUCUAUGUGCAAGCGGUGAAUGAAGUCCGUUCUGAGGGAGCUCGUCUCCAGGCUGGAGGGCUUCCUGGAAGAGCGGGCCCAGCGCAGGAGGAAGACCUUCCCCUGCAGUUGACAUCCAGUCUUUCUCCAAGACCCUGUCUGGAAGAAAGCCCAAGGGCUUGGAAGAGAAGCCAAAAGCAGAGCUGGAGCCUGCCAAGAAACAAGUGAAGGGGGAGCGCAAUGGGGAGAAGGCUCAGAGGGCGCAUGAGAGCAGAGGCGGUGUGCCAGCUCCACCAGCGCACCCUGGGCCUGCCCCAGCACCCAGCACUGUUCCUCUUUGGAGCAGUGCUCCACGUUCUCCUGAUGUUGCACUCAGAAGGCAUCCCUCAGUCAUACAGCCUUCCCAAAUGCCAGCCUGCCUUUGUUUCAGCUGAGAUGGAAUUGUUUCCUUUAGAGUGCCUGGUAUGACGCUAUCUGUCAUCCUGGUUUUAUCGGCACUCCAUGCCAUGCCAUCCUGUGGCAGGCUGUUGGAGCAGAGGCACAGUGCUGUGGAGCUAUACUUCCCAGCCCUGUGCUCUCGAGCAGUCUCAUGUGAGUUCCAACUCUCCCAGAAAUCUCUUGUUCCCAGGAACCUCCACUGUUUCCUAUAUGAUCUCCAAUGCCGGGUGAUGCGAUGAUCGGCCCUUCCGGGUCCUGGCAGCACAGCGAGCAGCGUGGUGGGAGCCUUCCUCUCUCCCAUUGGAGUUAUUAAUUGUAACUCUCUUUCUUAGUAUUAUCUUAUGUUCUAUGUAGUAAAUUUGUUCUCUCUCCUUAUCUUCAUUGGUUCAUUGUGUGGGGGACCUAAAGGCCCCUGACUGAAGAAUGAUCCUGGGAUGGAACAAAGUAUUCUGACUGUUUUAAGGGAACAUAAGGAUCUUGUUUUGUAGAGAGAGCUGACCUUGGUAGUUGGUCUUGUUUUUGCAAAGCCUUGUUUUACAAGCAGCGGUUCCACUUGGGCUCUGUAUCACGUGUUGGCCACGCAGGUACAGCGUGCAAGUGGAACAAACCCUGCAGACCCCGGGGAGAAUCAAAGCAGGAGAGAGGCUGCAGUGGGAGAGAGAGGACAAGUGCCCCUUGAAGCAGGGGUUGCCCUGCUGGCGCUGCCUAUCGCAUCCACCGCCGCCAUGCUCCUGCUCGCUCCUUUUUGGCGGUUCGCCAUCUCUCAAGGGCUGGUAAGUAACGGUGCACU